This 440-nucleotide ribosomal RNA is filed under the name uncultured bacterium. RNAcentral's name for it is "partial 16S ribosomal RNA". It matches the Rfam family "Bacterial small subunit ribosomal RNA", at positions 338 to 795 of the family's 1533-position model. The record is from RNAcentral.
CCUACGCGAGGCAGCAGUGGGGAAUAUUGCACAAUGGGGGAAACCCUGAUGCAGCGACGCCGCGUGAGUGAAGAAGUAUCUCGGUAUGUAAAGCUCUAUCAGCAGGGAAGCAAAUGACGGUACCUGACUAAGAAGCCCCGGCUAACUACGUGCCAGCAGCCGCGGGAAUCCGUAGGGGGCAAGCGUUAUCCGGAUUGACUGGGGGUAAAGGGAUCGUAGACGGCGCUGCAAGUCCGGAGUGAAAGCCCAGUGCUUAACCAUGGGACUGCUCUGGAAACGGUGGAACUUGAGUGCGGGAGGGGCAGGCGGAAUUCCUAGGGUAGCGGUGAAAUGCGUAGAUAUUAGGAGGAACACCGGCGGCGAAGGCGGCCUGCUGGACCGUAACUGACGUUGAGGCUCGAAAGCGUGGGGAGCAAACAGGAUUAGAUACCCCUGUAGUC